UCGGGGAUAGUUUAAUCGGCAAAACAGCUGACUCCGGAUCAGCAAUUUGGGGUUCAAAUACUCUGUCCCCGAG
RNAcentral lists this transfer RNA (73 nucleotides) under Chloroflexi bacterium HGW-Chloroflexi-1. RNAcentral describes it as "tRNA-Arg". It matches the Rfam family "tRNA". From Rfam's summary of the family: Transfer RNA (tRNA) molecules are approximately 80 nucleotides in length. Lineage: Bacteria; Bacillati; Chloroflexota. The record is from RNAcentral.